RNAcentral lists this long non-coding RNA (1229 nucleotides) under Mus musculus (house mouse). Its description in RNAcentral is "long non-coding RNA chr3:94960117-94961346". The record is from RNAcentral. Lineage: Eukaryota; Metazoa; Chordata; Mammalia; Rodentia; Muridae.
GGUUUAGCUUGCUAGGCUGGGAUGAGCUGGACUGCUGCCUGUCCCCUGAACCUUGCAUCUCCCUCAGUGCAGCUCUAACUUUUAUCUCAUUGUAGCCUCGGAAGGACAGAGAAGGAAGCCAUUCUCGUUAGUCUCUUCAUUCUUACAGGACAGCUUUCGCACCUCUGUCUCCCAGAACAAGCUCCUUUUAGGGUCUGAAUCUUAAACUUUCUCCGCAGCCGUGUUUCCUACCUCCCAACCUAGUGUCACCUUCUCAGAGGAUAUGAAUGCCCCUCCCAAGCCAUUUCAUUACAUUACCUUCAUUCUGCAGCCACCAGAUGUCAUGCACUUGUCACAUGUGUCAGGACCUAGCCAGGACUGUGGGCUUAGGCUGGAUUAACAGAUGCUGCGAGUCAGGGAGCACCUGCAGGAAGGAUGCAGACGCUCCAGCUGUGUCCUUGGGAACAGCAGGAAACCAGCCCAUAUUAAUCAAGGACCUACUCCGUCCUCCCCACAGGACAGCUUCUUGUCAGGGAAUCUUGGUUUUAUUCCCAAGAAAUAGAUUUUCUUUCAGGGAGAUACCACCCAUUUGUCCAUUUAUUUCCAUGAGAACAGAUUUUUUAAAAAUUAUAAGUAAUCUUUGAUAUCUAUAAAGAAAUAUGUACUAUAAAUUAUGAAAUGCAAUGAAUACCUAUGACCCAUCAUUCAAUUUAUACAUUGAAAGUAGUUUUUUCCCCCUUGCCCGGCCUCUUCCUAGAGGUAAUCACUGUCUUUAAUUUUUGGUUAUUAAUCAUUUGUUUAUAUAUAUUGGCCAUGUGUAUAUAUAUUCUUUAGGAAUGUAUAAUUUUGUAUUGCUUGUAUUUUUAGCUUUAAAAAAUGUUGUCCUGUGUUCCUUGAGGUUUGCUUUUUUGCACUUACCCAUUGUUUCUCCGACUCCUCUGUUGUAAUUGCUAUGACUUGUUCCUCUGCAUCUGUAUAAUACCCCAUCAAGCAACUUAGCCACUCACCUACUGAGUAACACUUGGGCUGUCGGCAGGCUUCUGUUAUUAUACACAAUGCUGCUAUGAACAUUCUUGUAUAUGAGUGCCUUUGUUUUUAGUAAGAUUUCUAAAGAGGUUUCUAAGAUGGUCCUUUUGGUCUGUGUACCCUCUGAGCUGGGGACUGUUGCCUCUUGUCUUACUUUAUGGAAGAGUUUACAUCACAUAGAAAUGAACUGUUCUUGAAUGUUUGAUAAAAACUCACCUAUAAAG